AUUUAUAUAGUUUAAUAAAAACCUUACAUUUUCAUUGUAAAAUUAGAGGAAUCUUAUAAAUA
Molecule: transfer RNA, 62 nt
Filed under: Hemipyxis plagioderoides
Lineage: Eukaryota; Metazoa; Arthropoda; Insecta; Coleoptera; Chrysomelidae
Description: tRNA-Glu
Source: RNAcentral